Molecule: ribosomal RNA, 250 nt
Filed under: uncultured bacterium
Lineage: Bacteria
Description: partial 16S ribosomal RNA
Rfam family: Bacterial small subunit ribosomal RNA
Source: RNAcentral
UACGUAGGGUGCAAGCGUUAAUCGGAAUUACUGGGCGUAAAGGGUGCGCAGGCGGCUUUGUAAGUCAGAUGUGAAAUCCCCGGGCUUAACCUGGGAAUUGCGUUUGAAACUACAGAGCUAGAGUGUAGCAGAGGGGAGUGGAAUUCCAUGUGUAGCAGUGAAAUGCGUAGAGAUAUGGAAGAACAUCGAUGGCGAACGGCGAGCUCCCUGGGUUAACACUGACGCUCAUGCACGAAAGGCGUGGGGAAGC